This 45-nucleotide non-coding RNA is filed under the name Schistosoma margrebowiei. Lineage: Eukaryota; Metazoa; Platyhelminthes; Trematoda; Strigeidida; Schistosomatidae. The record is from RNAcentral.
AACCAGAUGACGAGUCCCAUGUAGAAUGAAACGCACGUCCUGGGU